UACGUAGGGUGCGAGCGUUGUUCGGAAUUACUGGGCGUAAAGCGCACGUAGGCGGAUAUUUAAGUCAGGGGUGAAAUCCCAGAGCUCAACUCUGGAACUGCCUUUGAUACUGGGUAUCUGGAGUAUGGAAGAGGUGAGUGGAAUUCCGAGUGUAGAGGUGAAAUUCGUAGAUAUUCGGAGGAACACCAGUGGCGAAGGCGGCUCACUGGUCCAUUACUGACGCUGAGGUGCGAAAGCGUGGGGAGCAAACAGG
RNAcentral lists this ribosomal RNA (253 nucleotides) under uncultured bacterium. RNAcentral describes it as "partial 16S ribosomal RNA". It matches the Rfam family "Bacterial small subunit ribosomal RNA", at positions 524 to 776 of the family's 1533-position model. The record is from RNAcentral.